GACGAACGCUGGCGGCGUGCUUAACACAUGCAAGUCGAACGGAAAGGCCCUGUUUCUGUGGGGUGCUCGAGUGGCGAACGGGUGAGUAACACGUGAGUAACCUGCCCUCGACUUUGGGAUAACUUCUGGAAACUGGGGUUAAUACCGGAUCGUAGCUCCUGCUGCAUGGUGGGGGUUGGUAAGUUUCGGCGGGUGGGGAUGGACGCGCGGGGGAUCAGCUUGUUGGGGAGGUAAUGGCUGUCCACGGCGAUGAUGGGUAGCCGUGCUGAGAGGGUGACCAGCGACACUGGAACUGAGACACGGUACAGAGUCCUACGGGAGGCAGCAGUGGGGAAUAUUGCACAAUGGGGGGAACGCUGAUGCAGCCAUGCCGCGUGAAUGAAGAAGGCCUUCGGGGUGUAAAGUUCUUUCGGUGACGAGGAAGGUGGAUAGGUUAAUAGCCUAUCAAAUGGACGUGAAUAACAGAAGAAGCACCGGCUAACUCCGUG
Molecule: ribosomal RNA, 488 nt
Filed under: uncultured bacterium
Lineage: Bacteria
Description: partial 16S ribosomal RNA
Rfam family: Bacterial small subunit ribosomal RNA
Source: RNAcentral